CCUACGGGAGGCAGCAGUGAGGAAUAUUGGUCAAUGGGCGAGAGCCUGAACCAGCCAAGUAGCGUGAGGGAAGACGGCCCUAUGGAUUGUAAACUUCUUUUGUCGGGGAGCAAAAAGCGGUACGCGUAGCGCAUCGAGAGUACCCGGUGAAUAAGCACCGGCUAAUUCCGUGCCAGCAGCCGCGGUAAUACGGAGGAUGCGGGCGUUAUCCGGAUUUAUUGGGUUUAAAGGGUGCGCAGGCGGCGAGUAAAGUAAGCGGUAAAAUUUCGGGGCUCAACCCCGCCAUGCCGUGGAAACUGGCUUGCUAGAGUGGGCGAGAAGUAUGCGGAAUGCGUGGUGUAGCGGUGAAAUGCUUAGAUAUCACGCAGAACUCCGAUUGCGAAGGCAGCAUGCCGGCGCCCAACUGACGCUGAGGCACGAAAGCGUGGGUAUCGAACAGGAUUAGAUACCCCAGUAGUC
Molecule: ribosomal RNA, 459 nt
Filed under: uncultured bacterium
Lineage: Bacteria
Description: partial 16S ribosomal RNA
Rfam family: Bacterial small subunit ribosomal RNA
Source: RNAcentral